This 283-nucleotide unclassified non-coding RNA is filed under the name plant metagenome. Its description in RNAcentral is "partial contains small subunit ribosomal RNA, internal transcribed spacer 1, and 5.8S ribosomal RNA". The stretch from base 235 to 283 matches the Rfam family "5.8S ribosomal RNA", at positions 1 to 49 of the family's 154-position model. The record is from RNAcentral.
UUUCCGUAGGUGAACCUGCGGAAGGAUCAUUAUUGUGUAACCGAGGUGCGAGGGCUGUCGCUGACCCGAAAGGUCGUGCACGCCUGAGUGCCCUCACACACAUCCAUCUCACCCCUAUGUGCACCACCGCGUGGGUCCCCCUUUGGCUUGUUCGGAGGGGGGCUUACGUUUUCACAUAAACUUUGUAUGCAGUGUAGAAUGUAUUUUUUGUUUUUGCGAUCACGCAAUCAAUACAACUUUCAACAACGGAUCUCUUGGCUCUCGCAUCGAUGAAAAACGCAGC